CCGGGCCCGGCUGCUCAUCCCCCGCAGGGAGGCCUCCGCCUGGGUUGCGCGCUCCGCAAAACGACCAGGUGCUGCUUAGCGGGCGGAGGCCUCGGGCAAAAGCCCCGAAGGCAGGAUCAGCUGUUUCCUGCCUGAGGAGAGGGAGCCGGCCUGGACUUCCUUCGGCAGGGAGACUGGAGGGCUGCUUCUUCCCGUGAAAUCAGCCGCCUCCCGGUUACCUGUCCACCUUACCCUGCCCGCACCAAGGGCUCCGACUUCCUGCCUUUCAGCGCUGCGCCAGCAUCAAGAUUCUUCAUGGAGCAACAAAGAGCAGGCAAUUAAUUGCAAGAGAGAGGAAGUCUGCAUGAUUCUUGAUUCACCUUUAUUACCAAAUAAAUCAGGCAUUCCAAAUGUAUCAUACAUCUAAACAAGUCCACACCGCUGUUGGCUAGUAGACUCAGCCAGCAGAAUCCUGAAUGACAAAGAAGAUAUGCAAUUUUUGUGUUUGUCAUGAUUGUGCUUCAUAUUGUAAUGUAUUUUUGUGUACGUGACAGAAUGACUGACUUUAUUAGAUUCGUAUCUUGACUUUCCUCCAGGAGUUUAUGAUGACUUAAUGGUGAUGUCCUUCAUUUGAUCCCCAUAACAGCAACCUUGUGAAGAAGGUUGACUGUUUUCUGUGGCCAAAGGUGAAUUUGAAUUGAAUGAGAAAUUGUUAUAAUUCAGUCUGUAGAUUACUUUCUUUUACUCCCUGAUGCACUUUGUCCUUUCCCAGUUCAAUUUUGGAGUAUCAUUGGAAAAAUAUUAUUAUUCACCAUUAUAAAUCCAGAGCCUAGUGGAGUUGAAUGGCUAUUACAAAUGUGAAUAAAUAAAUUAAUCAUAGCUGCUGAA
Pantherophis guttatus is the source of this 867-nucleotide non-coding RNA. The record is from RefSeq and is a predicted model, not a curated record. NCBI's taxonomy places the organism in Eukaryota, Metazoa, Chordata, Lepidosauria, Squamata, Colubridae.